CUAUGGAUUCAAAUGUGUUUACAGAAGAUUUGACAGCAAAUGUCAAGUUGAAAUGGAAAAUUGUCUUAAGAUGUUUAGUGCCGGUAUUUUAUUUUUUUAAUUGUCUUGUUUGCAUGCAAGCUCUCUUAGCUUUUUGAGUCAUGCUGCCAGCUGUUCUUACGCACAACAAUCACCCAGUAUGACAUCAUCACUGGUCGCCCCUCUGAGAGCAGCGAGGGUUCCACCCAAUGUUGCAAACCAGGCUUGUGAUUUCUGGAACUAACUUCAGAUGAUUUACUUGCAUGUCCUUCAUUUUAUGUUUCCCUGAUGCUUCUUCUCAAAUAACAUUUUCUGUACAGUGUUUUAUCUGAUUGUUCACUGACUUGCGUUUGCACAGGGUGGAGGCAUCAGAAUCAUUCCUCUUGGCACUCAGAAGCCAGAUCCUUAGAAGAUAAACAAACAAGAAUACUCAGCUUUUAAAACAGGCAUUUGUCUAUCUGUCCGUGUACAAGUGGAAGUCCAUUUUCUUGCAGGCAUGUUUUUGUACAUACAGUGGUGUCUGUGUGUUCUUCUCAUCAGCCUGGAGAGGCAGGUUCAGGAUAAGGAGAUGUCGGAGAGGGAGCUGUACUCGCGUUUUGUCAUGGUGCUGAACGAGAAGAAGGCCAAGAUUCGAGGCUUGCAGGACGUUCUCCGCCAGCUCCAACAGACGGAUGACCAGCAGAGAGAGGAGGAGGGGAGACAACGUGACAAUGACACAACUCAUGGUGAGGACGGCAGCCAGGACAGAGGAGAGGAGUCCGUUCAGAGCUUCCAUCCAUCUCAGGAGCCAACUAUCCUCAUCACAGGUCGUGAUCUGGUGUGCCAGGGCAUCUCUUUGGACCGGACUUUUUCUGAUGAUGAAGAUGAACAACCGAGACGAAAGCGGAAGUUACUUCACACCCUGAGCCCAGAGUCUUGCGAGCGGGAGUAAAAUCACAGCUGCCCUUCGUUCUGUAGAUGUUCUGUGGCCCAAACUACCUGAGGGGUGUUUGCAGAGGGUUAAUAGAGUUAUGUUGUCUCUCAUCGUCUUCACCUCCUCACCUCUUCCUUUACCUCUGCUACCAGCUUUAGGUCCUGAGGUCAUCACAGUGUGUCUUCACACUGACAGUAAUGAACCCACGGAGAAUUUUCAGGGUCUUUAUCUGACCAUUCUACCUUUGACUUGUGGACCUUCAUGGUGUCUGUUAUGAUGCUGAUGAUACCUACAUGUCGGCUGAAGUCAACGGGCAGCCGCCAGGAUAAUCCCACAACACGUGCUCGCUGGUUUAGUAAUCCCCACAGGAAUGUCACACUCUCUCCUCUAUACAUCCCAUCAAUACAACAUAAAAGGGAAGUCCAGAUCAGUUUCUAAGAAUACACAACAGAUGAGCACAUGGCAAAGUGUAAUGGAGGAGAGCAAAAAGUGUGAAAGAUUGGGAGACUGUUCUGAGAAUUUCACCCACUGGUGUGUUUAUAUAUCAUAUAUUUUUUUUAAAGACGUUCCAAAUGUCUUCAUUUUAUUUGAUUUCAUUUGAAAUAAAUUAGAUUGAGAAGGUAUUGAAAAUACAGGAAAGAUACAUUCAUAUUUUGCUAUAUGCAAUAUUGUAAAUGUUUUUGUUUUGGGGGUAAAUAAACUUUGUGAAUUGUCUCACAAGAUGUUAAUUUCUACCUGACUUAAAUAAACAUUUUUUUUGCAAUAUUUUUGCCUUUUCAGUUUUUUCUGAAUCACAUGUGAUUGCCCAAGAUACAAGCAUCCAUUUUGUGAACUAGAGUAAACAGAUGGAUAAGGUUGAUGUGUCAUUGAAAAGUUUAUCUCUCACAGUCUAAUUAGUCUUUAAAACACCCAAUUACUUUUCAUACUAUAUCUACUAAUUGCUAUUUACUAAGUUGUUAAGUGUUUGAAAAUCAAACCUUGAA
Long non-coding RNA from Sparus aurata (gilthead seabream), 1914 nucleotides. The record is from Ensembl. NCBI's taxonomy places the organism in Eukaryota, Metazoa, Chordata, Actinopteri, Spariformes, Sparidae.